Molecule: non-coding RNA, 21 nt
Filed under: Caenorhabditis elegans
Lineage: Eukaryota; Metazoa; Nematoda; Chromadorea; Rhabditida; Rhabditidae
Source: RNAcentral
UAAUUUCAGAGAUUUCUUUUU